AAACUGCUUCCUAUGCUUGGGUUGUAGUCAACUUUUUCACGUGUUUUUACAAGAGCAAUAAACAGCAUCCCAUGCUUGGGUUUUAGUAAACUUUUUCAAGUGAAUAACAGCAUAGACAUGGAAAGAGAAUGCAUCCUCAAAGCAGGGUGUGUAUACUUAAAGGAGGACCAUGUACAGCUGUUCAAGGAGUAAAAUGAUUGCGACUGGGUGAAUGCUAAAGAAGCCAUAGAGCAGAUGGUAAUGGGGAUCUACAUCGUCCGAUCCGGAGGACACCAAACAGGAGAUAAACCUGUGGACGUUGGUAUUGUGAUUGAAGGGACUGAGGUUCUCUGCUCUUUGAAGAACGUAGCUGUAGCAGUGGCCAUGCUGUUUGGACUUACUUACGCCUUGAACCUCAGCUACCCACGAGAACGCAAAGCUUCAUUUGAGGUCAUCCGGAAAGUGUUCUUUAACUUGGAUGGACAAAAACUUUCACCAAAGGUACAAGCCCUCAAGAACAAGAUGCUGGAGUAAGUUACCUUAUGUGUGUAUUCUCCAAAGACUAAAUCUUGACUUCAGAAGGUAUUAGCUGUGAAUAUACAUUGAAAUAUCAAUAUUGUUCAUCUUGGAUGAUAUUUUUUGUAUUUUUUACCUGAACAUUUGCCUUGAAAUAAGAAUAAAGAGAAACUUGUGACAUUCAC
Long non-coding RNA from Carassius carassius (crucian carp), 680 nucleotides. RefSeq lists it as uncharacterized. The record is from RefSeq and is a predicted model, not a curated record. NCBI's taxonomy places the organism in Eukaryota, Metazoa, Chordata, Actinopteri, Cypriniformes, Cyprinidae. The transcript has 4 exons.